This 253-nucleotide ribosomal RNA is filed under the name uncultured bacterium. RNAcentral's name for it is "partial 16S ribosomal RNA". It matches the Rfam family "Bacterial small subunit ribosomal RNA", at positions 524 to 776 of the family's 1533-position model. The record is from RNAcentral.
UACGUAGGGUGCGAGCGUUGUCCGGAAUUAUUGGGCGUAAAGAGCUCGUAGGCGGCCUGUCGCGUCGGAUGUGAAAGCCCGGGGCUUAACCCCGGGUCUGCAUUCGAUACGGGCAGGCUAGAGUGUGGUAGGGGAGAUCGGAAUUCCUGGUGUAGCGGUGAAAUGCGCAGAUAUCAGGAGGAACACCGGUGGCGAAGGCGGAUCUCUGGGCAUUACCUGACGCUGAGGAGCGAAAGCAUGGGGAGCGAACAGG